UGGCAGCCUGAGGGGAGCUAAAUCCUGGACUGGAAAGCGCUGAGAGGGGACAGGUAUACUCAAACUGCUGAAAUACACACAUAUACAUAGAAAUACAUUUACAAAUGGCAGUUCUUAAAGUCCCAAAGCACAUUUAAACCACCACGCCUCAGUGAGGCGCCGCCGCCAUUUUAUACUUGGCGCAAAAACGCCUCUGCCGGAUCUACCUCCAGGAACCCAUCACGGCCCGCCAACCUCACUGAUUGAAAUCCUUCCGCCAGAGGAAAACCCUUCCCUGCCCGGCCUCUCCCACAGCCCCAGGGCGGGGAGAACGACGGAGAAAAGAAGGAGAAAUCCCCGAAUUCCCCACAGUUCCCGCUGAGAGCGAGGGCUGGUCCAGCCCGAUCUUUCUGCUCCUCCUCCUCGGACUCUUUACCGCAGGUAAGAGGGAGGAAGUGGUGGAAGCAGAAGCUGUGCAUUGUGCCACCCGAGUGCCACUGUCCCCAGGGCCACCUGUCCCUGCCAGGAGGACCAAGGGGUGUCCACUUCCUGCCAUGCCACAAAGUGCUUUGAAACCUGC
Passer montanus (Eurasian tree sparrow) is the source of this 559-nucleotide long non-coding RNA. RefSeq lists it as uncharacterized. The record is from RefSeq and is a predicted model, not a curated record. NCBI's taxonomy places the organism in Eukaryota, Metazoa, Chordata, Aves, Passeriformes, Passeridae. The transcript has 3 exons.